RNAcentral lists this ribosomal RNA (408 nucleotides) under uncultured bacterium. RNAcentral's name for it is "partial 16S ribosomal RNA". It matches the Rfam family "Bacterial small subunit ribosomal RNA", at positions 28 to 526 of the family's 1533-position model. The record is from RNAcentral.
GACGAACGCUGGCGGCGUGCUUAACACAUGCAAGUCGAACGCAGUGGCGAACGGUUGAGUAAUACGUGGGUCACCUGCCCUCCUUUUUGGGAUAAGCCUUGGAAACGGGGUCUAAUACCGAAUAAAGGGGGAUGGGCUCGCGGCCUAUCAGCUUGUUGGUGGGGUGAUGGCCUACCAAGGCGGUGACGGGUAGCCGGCCUGAGAGGGUGACCGGCAAAAUGGGGACUGGGAUACGGCCAGGACUCCUACGGAGGGCAGCAGUGGGGGAUAUUGCAAAAUGGGCGAAAGCCGGAUGCAGCGACGCCGCGUGUGUGAAGAGGGUCUUCGGAUUGUAAAGCACUUUAAGUUGGGAGGCGGUACCAACAGAAUAAGCACCGGCUAACUUCGUGCCAGCAGCCGCGGUAAUAC